UACAGAGGGGGCAAGCGUUGUUCGGAAUUACUGGGCGUAAAGGGCGCGUAGGCGGCCUUCUAAGUCGAACGUGAAAUCCCCGGGCUCAACCCGGGAACUGCGUCCGAUACUGGAAGGCUUGAAUCCGGGAGAGGGAUGCGGAAUUCCAGGUGUAGCGGUGAAAUGCGUAGAUAUCUGGAGGAACACCGGUGGCGAAGGCGGCAUCCUGGACCGGCAUUGACGCUGAGGCGCGAAGGCCAGGGGAGCAAACGGG
Molecule: ribosomal RNA, 253 nt
Filed under: uncultured bacterium
Lineage: Bacteria
Description: partial 16S ribosomal RNA
Rfam family: Bacterial small subunit ribosomal RNA
Source: RNAcentral